GGGUCCAGCGGCUGGAAGAGCAC
RNAcentral lists this small nuclear RNA (23 nucleotides) under Arabidopsis thaliana (thale cress). Its description in RNAcentral is "snRNA_07199". The record is from RNAcentral. Lineage: Eukaryota; Viridiplantae; Streptophyta; Magnoliopsida; Brassicales; Brassicaceae.